RNAcentral lists this long non-coding RNA (502 nucleotides) under Calidris pugnax (ruff). RNAcentral's name for it is "lncRNA (ENSCPUG00000012173.1)". Lineage: Eukaryota; Metazoa; Chordata; Aves; Charadriiformes; Scolopacidae. The record is from RNAcentral.
AUGGACAUGGACCUGAGUUUAACCAUCACAUCCCUGAAAUGGAUCAGCGUGUGUUUUUUUGUGGCACCUUGCGUGUACCGAGCUGAUGCUCAGAGCUCCUUUCUUUUCAAGAGGAGUGCCCGUACCACCAUGACCAUCUCUGUUCUUGGUGGAUGUUUGUGGCCAGUCCUGCCUGAAUGUCACAGGGGCUCAGCAAGGCUGGGGGUGUUUUCAUGCCUGUCCUGCACCCUGCCAGCUAAACCACUGCCUACAAGCACAUUGGUUAUCUGGAAAGGGUGUUGCAGGGUGUGCCUGCACCACAGGUCCUGUUCUGCGCCCCAGGCAGCACACACAGGAUUCAGCCACCACCAUAUGUCUGAGAGUGAGUGUGUCAAACAAGGGCUGAAAGUCCCAGUGAAACAGAGAGUUAUGGUGUCACAGACCAUCUGAUGGGAUGAGGGAGUUGGAGGGAAGCAAAGUUUCCACAAGAACUAAUGCUGUUUUAUGAAAUCUUCCAACUUGG